RNAcentral lists this ribosomal RNA (216 nucleotides) under Glomeromycotina sp. Its description in RNAcentral is "partial small subunit ribosomal RNA". The stretch from base 40 to 216 matches the Rfam family "Eukaryotic small subunit ribosomal RNA", at positions 686 to 864 of the family's 1831-position model. The record is from RNAcentral. Lineage: Eukaryota; Fungi; Glomeromycota.
GGGUCAGUAGGUUGGUCGUGCCACCGGUACGUACCGGUCUCACUGAUUCCUCCUUCCUGAAGAACCGUAAUGCCAUUAAUUUGGUGUUGCGGGGAAACAGGACUGUUACUUUGAAAAAAUUAGAGUGUUUAAAGCAAGCUAACGCUUGAAUACACUAGCAUGGAAUAAUGAAAUAGGACGAUCGAUCCUAUUUUGUUGGUUUCUAGGAUUGACGUA